RNAcentral lists this long non-coding RNA (2131 nucleotides) under Mytilus galloprovincialis (Mediterranean mussel). Lineage: Eukaryota; Metazoa; Mollusca; Bivalvia; Mytilida; Mytilidae. The record is from RNAcentral.
UUUUGUCAAUUGAGAAAAAAAUCCAUUUUCAUGGUUUGAAAAUUUCUACAUGAGAAUAAAAGGAAAUACCAGUUUUAUUGGACAAUGGAAUUGACUUUUACCUCCUGUGAAAAUUAGUGUCCAAUUAAUAAUAAAAAAUCCACAGUAACUAUUCUCUGAUGAGAUUCCUGACUUGGAACAGGUACAUAACUGAAUGGCAGGGUAUAACUGGUUUUUAAAAUACUUAACCCUCUCUAUUUUUAUCUUGAGUAUUGAAAAAAAAAGCGUGAAAGAUGGAAGUUAGUUCAGAAAAGACUAUUUAAAUCAACAGUUUGAUCCAUUGGCAUAAAGGCAAAGAAGUUUCAUUACUAUGCUAAUAGCGAAGAGAUGUUCAUGGCUGUUAAAUUUGUAAGUGGUUAAUGGGCUCAAAAUAUGGUUGUAUCUAUAUGCAUCACUUGGACCAUGCUGUCAGCACUUUCUGGCAGCAAUAUAUUUAUUUUUUUCCAACCAUGCUUGUUCAUAACUAAAUUAUUUUAGCAAGAUUAUAGGGUACCAGGUACUUGAAAUUUUAGGUUGUACAAUAAAAAAAAACCUUUUUUUUAUGCAGCUAUAAAUCAUUAUAAUUUUUGGGAGACUAAUUGUCUAUAUGCUAGUAUGCAGACUUUGGCAAGUCCAUAAUAUCAAAUAUCCACAAAAUAUGCAACUUUUCCUUAAUCCAGGAUAAAUUGGCUUCAAUGAAAAUAAAUUAAUCCACAUUAGUUAAUACAUGUAUUUUAAAUACAGAAUUCUGUAAAUUCAGAAAUUAUUGAAAGCAUUUAUUAUUACGAUUUUGUCAUUUUAGACUUAAAUGCUAUUUUAAUUUCUACGAUCAAAAUGGGAGUUUAAAUUAUUGCGUUUACAACUUUAAUAAAAACCUCGCAAUAAUUUCUGAAUUUACAGUAUUUUGUUUAUUUUAAGGCAGCGUCUGAAUCUCUUUCUCUGUUUACAUUAUUGUAAUUUUCAUCUUGAUCCAAGACAUGAUUAAAUGUAAAUGUGCCAAAAUAUCUUAUAUGAACAAUGAAUGUGAAAUAAUAUCAUAAAUAUUAUUUUUAGUACUUUAUGUAUUGUUUGACAUGUAUACAAAUCUGUUAUAUGUCAUUUUCUAAACAUCUAAAUUCAUGUCAUGACAUGUUUAUUCAAGUUCUCAGAAUUAUAACGGUAUACUAUUCUUAGCAUCCAUGUUUAUCUAUGUUUCCACUUUCAUAACCAUCACCAUUUCUCAUUGACCAAUAUUUAAGUGUUUUCUUGAUUUUGAUACAAAAGUUUUACUUUCAUGUUUAUUUUGAUGAAGUUUCACAUCAUUCUUAGGUUCUUUGAUACAGCAUUUUAUGUAAAAAGAUGUGUCUAGCAUCACUCUCAUCUUCUAAUGAUAAUCACUUAAUAAAAGGAAUACAAAGGUUAUUUUCAACAAUAUUAUUACUUUUGACAUGUUUGAUGUGCAUUAAAAUAUGAGCAAGAGCAAACUAUUGUUCAAAGAAUGUGUGAUAGAUUAAUUAUUGAAUCUCAUCAUGUCAAUACUUCAGAAACAUACAAUAUCAUUUAUAAAAUUAGAAACUCAUACAAUUUUAUCUUGUGACUAUCACCAUAUACAAAUAUAUACACUAAUAGUCUGAAGGUCUAACUCAAACCUCUCCAGAAUUGAAAUCCCUUGAAACUACCAGAGUUAAUAUUUAAUGUUGUAUACAAUAACAUCAUUUUUUGUGUUCUUAAUGUUGAAAUCAUGAGUUUAUAUUAUAAAUGGUCCAGGGAAUUAUUAAAUAUUUUAUGGUCCUGGGAAUUAUUAUAUAUAUAUUGUGAGUAUAUUGUAACUUGUAGUAUUAAUAAAUGUAAUUACUGCUGUAUUUGUUCUUGUCAAUUUUUAUCUGCAAAGAAACUUGUAUGUUGGAAAGAAUACGGGAUGAAUUAUAUUGAGAAUGGAAAUGGGGAAUGUGUCAGAGAAACUAACCUUAUCAAAGAGCAGAAAAUAGCCCAAGGCCACCAAUGGGUCUUCAACACAGUGAGAAAAUCCUGCUCCCAAGUCUUCAGCUAGCCCCUAAAUAAAAGUGUGUACUAGUUCAGUGAAAAUGGACGUCAAACUAAGUCUGAAACAUAGAUGAACUAAAAUAAUAAAAAA